GAAAAUUCAUAGAGAAGAUUCUCUCUGUGGGUUUUCUUCUAUCUAAGACUCUACGUCUUCUUCCUGCCUCCAGUUGAGGCUUCCCAUUCCCCUAUAGAUAAGGGGGGCUACGUCCCAGCCUGGCCGUUGAUUUCUCACCACCACCCCUCCCCCAACCACCUGGUUAGGGUGUAAAUAAACUUUGAGUAGCUUUUUCGUGGAUUUGCAAAUAAAGUUGUUGAUGGUGGGGUGGUUUCUGGUAAUCUUAGGUUGUUUACGCUCCUUGUUGCCUAGAUUUUGUGUGAGGCUCAAUGGAGGGUUCUUGCUGGUUUUUUAUGGUGGCAUCUCUGGGGCCUUUGUGUAGACUCAGGAUCCGACGACAAAUCCUCCAAGCUAUAUGAGAAUGAGAAGCUGUGGGGCUCUGCCACCAUCCCCUCCAAGGCUGCCUGUGGUUCUUAUAGUUGUUUCUAAGGCUUAAGCUUCCGACUUGUUUGGGUCCAUCGUUGAAGAUUUGAGUUUGUUGGUAUCUUCGAAUUAAGGUGUUGGUAUCUCAAUCUAUUUGAAUAAAAGUGAAUAAGGGGUAAAUAAAGAUAAGAAAUGGUAAGUGAAUUAUUAUUUUACCUUUUUUUAAAUAUAAAAUUUUUUUCAUUGUAAACCUAAGCUCUUCCCUCUCUUUAUUCUCUCUUAUCAUUUUCUCACCCUAUCCAAACAGAAGUGUUGGCCGGGGUGGCGGCCUGCAUAGGAUUGGGUGCUACUAUUAUUGCAUCUAUGGUUUCUUGUGUGUUAGAGCUCAGAUGCACUAUUGAUGUUCGGCUGAGUACUCUUGGGCUUAGGUUGUUUCUUUGAUGGCCUGUCAUGGGGCUCUUAUUUUAAGGGCUUUGCUGUAAUCUGAGCUUAUUGCUGGGCUUUUUAGUUAUUCUUGCCGUUUUGCUGGAGGGCGC
Molecule: unclassified non-coding RNA, 920 nt
Filed under: Hevea brasiliensis (rubber tree)
Lineage: Eukaryota; Viridiplantae; Streptophyta; Magnoliopsida; Malpighiales; Euphorbiaceae
Source: RNAcentral